Molecule: ribosomal RNA, 483 nt
Filed under: uncultured bacterium
Lineage: Bacteria
Description: partial 16S ribosomal RNA
Rfam family: Bacterial small subunit ribosomal RNA
Source: RNAcentral
UGGGGAAUAUUGCACAAUGGGCGAAAGCCUGAUGCAGCAACGCCGCGUGAGUGAUGAAGGUCUUCGGAUUGUAAAGCUCUGUCUUUUGGGACGAUAAUGACGGUACCAAAGGAGGAAGCCACGGCUAACUACGUGCCAGCAGCCGCGGUAAUACGUAGGUGGCGAGCGUUGUCCGGAUUUACUGGGCGUAAAGGGUGCGUAGGCGGAUGUUUAAGUGAGAUGUGAAAUACCCGGGCUUAACUUGGGUGCUGCAUUUCAAACUGGAUAUCUAGAGUGCAGGAGAGGAGAAUGGAAUUCCUAGUGUAGCGGUGAAAUGCGUAGAGAUUAGGAAGAACACCAGUGGCGAAGGCGAUUCUCUGGACUGUAACUGACGCUGAGGCACGAAAGCGUGGGUAGCAAACAGGAUUAGAUACCCUGGUAGUCCACGCCGUAAACGAUGAGUACUAGGUGUAGGAGGUAUCGACCCCUUCUGUGCCGCAGUAA